Long non-coding RNA from Hyla sarda, 459 nucleotides. RefSeq lists it as uncharacterized. The record is from RefSeq and is a predicted model, not a curated record. Lineage: Eukaryota; Metazoa; Chordata; Amphibia; Anura; Hylidae. The transcript has 3 exons.
GCCCCGGUGUGUCUCCUCGUCUCCACACAACCAGGAUGCUCCACUAACGUCCUGGUGUUUUAAAACUGCCAGGAAGCACUGCGCAUGCGCUCGAAAUCGCAGUCCUUUACGGAGCAUGCGCUAAAGAAGGUUUGAGACACCUACCUAAUAUGUACCAUUCCUAAUAUGGGUGGCUUUCUGUUUGGCUUUUGGUCACCGCAGGCAGGGACAUCUCUGUAGAAAGUCUAGGAGAGCAGAAGAUAAGGGAGAAAAGGAUCCCUCAUUAUUAGAUUUUAUAUGCUUAAGAGAAACCCUGCAGCAUGAACCCAGCCUAACACUGGACCGAAUAGCACAGCAGACCUACGGAGAGGCUAAUAUUAGUCUUUAUUAGAUUUACACCAUUUGCAGCAUAUGUUUGUACAUAAGUCAGAGUUGCCAGGUUUUUGGAAUUGUGCCGGAAAUAAUUUUUGUCAUCUCAGU